RNAcentral lists this ribosomal RNA (403 nucleotides) under bacterium. RNAcentral's name for it is "partial 16S ribosomal RNA". It matches the Rfam family "Bacterial small subunit ribosomal RNA", at positions 355 to 776 of the family's 1533-position model. The record is from RNAcentral.
UGGGGAAUAUUGCACAAUGGGGGAAACCCUGAUGCAGCGACGCCGCGUGAACGAAGAAGGUAUUCAUAUCGUAAAGUUCUGUCCUAUGGGAAGAUAAUGACAGUACCAUAGAAGAAAGCUCCGGCUAAAUACGUGCCAGCAGCCGCGGUAAUACGUAUGGAGCGAGCGUUGUCCGGAAUUAUUGGGCGUAAAGGGUACGCAGGCGGUUUAAUAAGUCGAAUGUUAAAGAUCGGGGCUCAACCCCGCAAAGCAUUGGAAACUGAUAAACUUGAGUAGUGGAGAGGAAAGUGGAAUUCCUAGUGUAGUGGUGAAAUACGUAGAUAUUAGGAGGAAUACCAGUAGCGAAGGCGACUUUCUGGACACAAACUGACGCUGAGGUACGAAAGCGUGGGGAGCAAACAGG